GACGAACGCUGGCGGCGUGCUUAACACAUGCAAGUCGAACGGAAAGGCCCUGCUUUUGUGGGGUGCUCGAGUGGCGAACGGGUGAGUAACACGUGAGUAACCUGCCCUUGACUUUGGGAUAACAUCAGGAAACUGGGGCUAAUACCGGAUAGGAGCUCCUGCUGCAUGGUGGGGGUUGGAAAGAUUCGGCGGUUGGGGAUGGACUCGCGGCUUAUCAGCUUGUUGGGGGGGUAGUGGCUUACCAAGGCUUUGACGGGUAGCCGGCCUGAGCGGGUGACCGGCCACAAUGGGACUGAGAGACGGCCCAGUCUCCUACGGGAGGCAGAAGUGGGGAAUAUUGCACAAUGGGCGGAAGCCUGAUGCAGCAGCGCCGCGUGCGGGAAGACGGCCUUCGGGUGAUAAACCGCUUUCUCCUGUGACGAAGCGUGAGUGACGGUAAUGAGUAAAGAAGCACCGGCUAACUACGUG
Molecule: ribosomal RNA, 468 nt
Filed under: uncultured bacterium
Lineage: Bacteria
Description: partial 16S ribosomal RNA
Rfam family: Bacterial small subunit ribosomal RNA
Source: RNAcentral